GCUCACUUCAGCAGUACACACACACUAAAAUUGGAAUGAUAUAGAGAAGAUUAGCAUGGCCCCUGCAUAGAGAUGACACGCAAAUUCGUGAAGCGUCCCAUAUUUUU
Molecule: small nuclear RNA, 107 nt
Organism: Callithrix jacchus (white-tufted-ear marmoset)
Lineage: Eukaryota; Metazoa; Chordata; Mammalia; Primates; Cebidae
Source: Ensembl